This 484-nucleotide ribosomal RNA is filed under the name uncultured bacterium. RNAcentral describes it as "partial 16S ribosomal RNA". It matches the Rfam family "Bacterial small subunit ribosomal RNA", at positions 30 to 507 of the family's 1533-position model. The record is from RNAcentral.
AUUGAACGCUGGCGGCAUGCCUUACACAUGCAAGUCGAACGGUAACGGGUCCUUCGGGAUGCCGACGAGUGGCGAACGGGUGAGUAAUAUAUCGGAACGUGCCCAGUAGUGGGGGAUAACUGCUCGAAAGAGCAGCUAAUACCGCAUACGACCUGAGGGUGAAAGGGGGGGAUCGCAAGACCUCUCGCUAUUGGAGCGGCCGAUAUCAGAUUAGCUAGUUGGUGGGGUAAAGGCCUACCAAGGCAACGAUCGGUAGUUGGUCUGAGAGGACGACCAGCCACACUGGGACUGAGCCACGGCCCAGACUCCUACGGGAGGCAGCAGUGGGGAAUUUUGGACAAUGGGCGCAAGCCUGAUCCAGCAAUGCCGCGUGCAGGAAGAAGGCCUUCGGGUUGUAAACUGCUUUUGUCAGGGAAGAAAUCUUCUGGGCUAAUACCCCGGGAGGAUGACGGUACCUGAAGAAUAAGCACCGGCUAACUACGUG